RNAcentral lists this long non-coding RNA (298 nucleotides) under Vigna radiata. RNAcentral's name for it is "long non-coding RNA (VRAD_LNC013888)". Lineage: Eukaryota; Viridiplantae; Streptophyta; Magnoliopsida; Fabales; Fabaceae. The record is from RNAcentral.
UAGAUGUUGUAGCAGCAUCCAUCAGUAGACGUUUUCCCUCGUCAUCCUCAUCAUAACAACAUCCAUCAGUAAAUGUCAUUAUCUGAGUCCUCCUAGCAUCCAUCAGUAGAUGCUAUCAUUACUACCAUCAGAAGCAGCAUAUAACCUAAAAAAAAAAACUUAAAAACACAAAGAAAAAUCAAAACCAAACCACAAAAAGAAAAAAAAAAUCAGAAACUAGGUUGCCUCCCAACAAGCGCUCUUUUAACAUCACUAGCUUGACCCGGUAAAGUUCAAACACCCAUCAGUAAGUGUUGAC